ACCUAUCACUGGGCUUAUCUGAUCUUGGAGGUAGAGUGGGAUCAGGCCUGGUUAGUACUAGGAUCAGAGACUACUUGAGAAUUCCAGAUGUUGUAGGCU
This 99-nucleotide ribosomal RNA is filed under the name Salvator merianae (Argentine black and white tegu). Lineage: Eukaryota; Metazoa; Chordata; Lepidosauria; Squamata; Teiidae. The record is from RNAcentral.